This 29-nucleotide non-coding RNA is filed under the name Mus musculus (house mouse). Lineage: Eukaryota; Metazoa; Chordata; Mammalia; Rodentia; Muridae. The record is from RNAcentral.
UUUCAAACAUUUGAAUCUAUGGGAGCCAU